This 393-nucleotide ribosomal RNA is filed under the name uncultured bacterium. RNAcentral's name for it is "bacterial SSU rRNA". It matches the Rfam family "Bacterial small subunit ribosomal RNA", at positions 364 to 774 of the family's 1533-position model. The record is from RNAcentral.
UUGCACAAUGGAGGAAACUCUGAUGCAGCGACGCCGCGUGAUCGAAGAAGCCUUUCGGGGUGUAAAGCUCUUACGCCAGGGACGAUAAUGACGGUACCUGGAGAAGCAGCUGCGGCUAACUACGUGCCAGAAGCCGCGGUAAUACGUAGGCAGCAAGCGUUGAUCGGAAUUCAUGGGCGUAAAGGGUGCGUAGGCGGCGCUCUAAGUUUGGUGUGAAAUCUCCCGGCGUAACUGGGAGGGUGCACUGAAAACUGGAGCGCUCGAGUAUGGGAGAGGAAAGCGGAAUUCCUGGUGUAGCGGUGAAAUGCGUAGAUAUCAGGAGGAACACCGGCGGUGUAGACGGCUUGCUAGACCAUAACUGACGCUGAGGCACGAAAGCGUGGGUAGCAAACA